Molecule: ribosomal RNA, 398 nt
Filed under: Alexandrium tamarense
Lineage: Eukaryota; Dinophyceae; Gonyaulacales; Pyrocystaceae
Description: partial Bacterial small subunit ribosomal RNA
Rfam family: Bacterial small subunit ribosomal RNA
Source: RNAcentral
CGGGAGGCAGCAGUGGGGAAUAUUGCACAAUGGGCGCAAGCCUGAUGCAGCCAUGCCGCGUGUGUGAAGAAGGCCUUCGGGUUGUAAAGCACUUUUGUCAGGGAAGAAAUCGUUCGGGCUAAUACCUCGGGCAGUUGACGGUACCUGAAGAAUAAGCACCGGCUAACUACGUGCCAGCAGCCGCGGUAAUACGUAGGGUGCAAGCGUUAAUCGGAAUUACUGGGCGUAAAGCGUGCGCAGGCGGUUGUGCAAGACAGAUGUGAAAUCCCCGGGCUCAACCUGGGAACUGCGCUUAAGACUGGAGAGCUAGAAAACGGAAGAGGGUAGUGGAAUUCCCAGUGUAGAGGUGAAAUUCGUAGAUAUUGGGAAGAACACCAGUGGCGAAAGCGGCUACCUGG